GAGAGUGUCCCUAUGAACUUUGAGAAUUCGUUAUCGUUGUGCUCCUUUAUUUUGUUUUUUAUUUCCUUUGCAAGUUUGUUUAAGUGUUUUUUGUUUUCUCGGGUUUCUUUAUUUUUGCCAUUUUGCUUUUGCUUUUCUUUUUUCUUUGAUUUUUGUUUUUUUUUUUUUUUUUUUUUUUUUUUUUUUUUUUUUUUUUUUUUUUUUUUUAUUAAAAUUCACAAUUUGUCCAAUUU
RNAcentral lists this unclassified non-coding RNA (233 nucleotides) under Bombus terrestris (buff-tailed bumblebee). RNAcentral describes it as "misc RNA ENSBTSG00005026367.1". Lineage: Eukaryota; Metazoa; Arthropoda; Insecta; Hymenoptera; Apidae. The record is from RNAcentral.